AGCAGUAUUUGCAUUUGCUCUAGAAUUCUGUUUGUCCUACAACGGUUUGCUAUAAGAUUUCUUGGCCUUUGUUAACUAUUAAACUCGCUUUCACUAAGUUUUUUGGUUAUGGUAUGUUGUAUCUAUGCAAGUUGGUGUGUUUUUGAUAUGUUGGUUAUACUUGCUAGUCUAGAAGUGGUUGCAAGUGCAAUUCUGUUUAUUAAGAUUUGCAGAAACUUGUUGACGAAUAGAAAGAUGCAAGAAAUAAAAUUGAAGUCUUUACUGAGCAGGUGAUACUCCUCUG
This 283-nucleotide long non-coding RNA is filed under the name Olea europaea (common olive). RNAcentral describes it as "long non-coding RNA (OEUR_LNC013808)". The record is from RNAcentral. Lineage: Eukaryota; Viridiplantae; Streptophyta; Magnoliopsida; Lamiales; Oleaceae.